This 1637-nucleotide long non-coding RNA is filed under the name Marmota monax (woodchuck). Lineage: Eukaryota; Metazoa; Chordata; Mammalia; Rodentia; Sciuridae. The record is from RNAcentral.
AAAUUAUUUAAAUGCCUUCUAACAUUUUUCUUGGCUAUAUCACAUCUUUUUAAAAUUUUUUUUAUAGUUGUAAAUGGACAGAAUGUCUUUAUUUUAUUUGUUUAUUUUCAUGUGGUGCUAAGGAUUGAACCCAGAGCCUCACACAUGCAAGGCAAGUGCUCUGCCACUGAGCUAUAGCCCCAGCCUGCUAUAUCAUAUCUUUUGCAAAAUAUUGAAAAAUCAGAGAAGUGAAAUAGUUAGCCAUAUGGUAAAUAUUGGGUUUGUUGAACUAAGUGAGACCUUUGGUUGAUUUAUUCAGUAUAUGUAAACAGUGUGGCCACUUAGACUUCCAAGGACAUUCAUGGGUUGCCUGCAGUAUGUCCAACUGUACACAAAAAAGAGUUUGUCUCUUAGGUGCCUACUUGACUGCCUAUGUCCAAGAUAGUGUUCAAACGCCAAGUAUAUUGUUCACAUAGAAUAAAUACAUUAAAAUCUCAAAAAUUAUGUCCAUAUAGUAUUUUAUCAUGAGAAAUAGAACUUGUAAAAGAUCUAUUUAAGAUCAUCCUAUUUAAGUAAAGAUUCGAGAAACAUAGCUGGAUAUACUUGUAAUCCUAGAUACUCAGUAGACUGAGGCAGGAAGAUUACAAGUUUAAGGCCAGCCUGGGCAAUUUAGCAAGCCCAUUAAAAAAAAAAAAGUUGGGGGGGCACUUAGUGAUGGAGCACUUGCCUAGCAUGUGUGGGGCUCUUGGUUCAAUCCUUAGCACCACAAAUGGGGAAAAAUGGUAAAAUAUUGUUGCAAACACAAAAAUGGUAAGGAUUAAGAUGGAGGAUGAUUUAUAAACUUAGUGAGAAUGGUUUUAAUGUAAUAAUGUGAAGGUCAAAAGCCAGAUUAUAGUGGGUUAAAGAAUGAAUGGGAGAAAACAGAUGAAUGAAACAACUUUCAUGAAGUUUGGUACUGGUUAUUUAGGAGAGUCAGGACAUGGCAAUAGUUUCUUGUAGUUAUUAAAGGAGAUGUUUAAAAAGUAUCUUUAUUACAUAAUAACUGCCAUAAAGGAGACAUGUACAAAUACUUGAAGGUACUUAGGUGAAGGGCAUUAAUAUACCUGCAAUAGUCUGGGAAGGAUUACCUGAAGUACUCAGACUUAACAUUGGACUAAGAGUUUGGGCAGAUGGACAAGGGGAGGAGGAUACUUUUGAUUUGGAGAAAGAUAAGAGUUUGUGAAUUAUUGUAACAUGUUUGAGGAAAUUUUUUUUGGGGGGUGUACCGAGGAUUUAACUCUGGGGCACUCAACCACUGAGCCACAUCCCCAGCCCUGUUUUAUAUUUUAUUUAGACAGGAUGUCACUGAAUUUUUUAGCACCUCGCCUUUAUUGAGGCUGACUUUAAAUUUGUAAUCCUCCUACCUCAGCCUCCCCAGCCGCUGGGAUUGUAGGCAUGCGCCACCAUGCCUGGCCCUGUUUGAGAGCAUUUUAUGGUGAAUUGGUGACAUUAGAGCGUAAUGCACAAAGCUCACUAGGUUUGUUAAGCUUGGAAAGUGGUCAGGGCCGAAAACAUGGCUGAGAGUGCCUGUGGGCCAUAGAAUUUUAACUUUUAUCCCGUAGGUCUUUGCUUCCCACUGGGAAGAUUUGUGUUGGUGUGCCAGGGGUACUCAGGAUAAC